AUGUCAGUUUCAGAUACAAACCUUCAUAAUGGAGAAAAGCCUAUCUCCGAAAUUACCGAUGCGGAACUCGCCGAAAAGCAUGGUCAUAUGAAGUUAGUAUGCUCACAGACAAGGUUCGGAAAAACCAUGAAACUGUUGUCACGAGACUACAAAAAGUACAUCAUAUCAGAAACCAGUCUUGGCGGUCUAUGCCAGAUGCAUGAAGUGACUCUACGGUGCAUAAUGUUGGUUAGACUAGCCAAGAGCAUAGAUAUGGACACGCAAUCCAUUACCAUCGGUAAAACGCCAAUUCCUAUAACAAAAGAUGACGUGCAGUGUAUAUUUGGCAUUCCGAUAGAAGGGGAGGAUAUAGAGCCACAUCUGGAAAUGCAAACCGACACAGAAUUGUUUACCGCCUAUGCAAACAAUGCGCAAAUUUUGAUUUCUGACCUUGAAACGGCGAUCCGAGCUUCCAAAGCCCCAGACGGUGAUUUCCUGAGACGGUUCAUUCUGUAUGCAAUUGGUACUGUUCUAGCACCAACAGCACAACAUUAUGUGGACCCGAAAUUUCUCAACCUUGUUACAGAUCUUGAAAACCUUCGGAAAUUUAACAGGGGAUGUUUCACACUUAAUAACUUCUUCAAGUCCGUUAACAAGUUUAGAAAUCGAGAUCACGUAAAUCUACAAGGAAAUCUAAUUCUGCUCCAGUAUUGGUACUGGGAGCACGUGCGUAGUGGCCGGUUGAUGUAUGCUUCUAGACCCCUUCCAUUGAUCUCACGAUGGGACGAAAUGAUGGCUACUUUAAGAAGCGAUGCUUACGAGAAAGGAGGUCUUCAUAACGGGCUGAUUGACAUGGUAGUUGAAGCCAUGAAUGCACGCAUUGCUGAUCAUGAAAACAAGGUAGGCAGGAAGUUAAUGGAAACUGAGCACAAAUUUGAUGUCAAAUACCAGACGCUGGGUGAAGACUUGAUUGACAUGAAGACUAAAACUGGCACUAAUCCUAGGUUGUCGAAGACCGAGGACGAAAUUAAAGACUUAAGGAGGGAACUCCAUGAAUUAAAAUACGAAUUUACAAGCAACCGACAAUCAGUGUCACAGAAAGGAGGCGUGCAGGUGAUCAAUAUGGCCCAACAUGUUAAUAUCUAA
Molecule: ribosomal RNA, 1125 nt
Filed under: Triticum aestivum (bread wheat)
Lineage: Eukaryota; Viridiplantae; Streptophyta; Magnoliopsida; Poales; Poaceae
Description: partial small subunit ribosomal RNA
Source: RNAcentral